This 324-nucleotide long non-coding RNA is filed under the name Elaeis guineensis (African oil palm). RNAcentral's name for it is "long non-coding RNA (EGUI_LNC005330)". The record is from RNAcentral. Lineage: Eukaryota; Viridiplantae; Streptophyta; Magnoliopsida; Arecales; Arecaceae.
UUUUGUUGUUUUAAGCUAACUAAAAAGAAAAAGAGAAAAAAGCAAAAGAAAAAAAAAUUCACAAGAUUCUUGAUUACCUUUGGCCCCAAGGUAAUGAACUUCUUCGGUGCUUCUUCCUCCCUCUUUAUGAGCUUUGUUACCUAUAGAGGCAUCUUUUACCUUACCUUUGGCCCCAAGGUGAUGAAUUUCUUCAGUGCUCCCACCACUUCAAAUGGAGGCUCCUACAUCAUCACGGAAAAAAAUACGGUGACCGUGAGGAUGGUGAAAAUGAGAGAGCCUGGCGUAAAAAAAUAAGGUGACCUCGAGAGCGAGAGAGAGAGAGAG